UAGCCUUUACAAGACAGUUUCACUGUGAUCCUCCUGUUUCCUCUCCUGUUAUGUAAGUCCUUCUGUCUUGUGGAGGCGUCUUACAUAAGCACUGAGGCUUAAUUCCUCCAUGCAAACCCCAACAAAACCCUCCUUGUCCUUUUUCUACAAAUUUUCCCCUUGUUGCUUCUUCUUCUUCCGUGAUAUCCUCUCGCUUUCCCUCGUCUGUUGUUCCUUACCUUCUCUUACCUUUAAACUUCCUUCUUCCUUGUCCUGUCAUACUCUUUUGUUGGUUGCAUAAAUUAAAACAAAACUCUGUAAACACUUUGCAGUUUCAGGUCUCGUCAGGACCUGUGCAGGUUUUGGAGCCUUAAGGUGAGAUGACGUCUCGGCCUGAUAACGUGAACGGUGCAGAAACACCACAACCUGCAGAAGGCCAAGCUGCAAACUGCAGGUUUCCUCCAUCUGGCAUCUACAGACAGGGAAGGCGCUGACUUGACGUAUGUAGGCUCAGACCUGUGGGGAGGAGAGGCACUGAAAUCAGAAUAAUAAUCAGACCACUUCAUUGAAUCCAGAGGAAAUUAUGUGCUGCAGCUCAUGAAGAAAGUCGAACCUCUACAACCGAGAGUAAAAGCAGAAAGGACAGAAACGUGAAUGCUUCUGGUACACAGCAAAACUGAAGACGGAUGUGAGCGAAUGCACCCCCAGAUUCACCUUGAAUGCUGAAACUGAGGAAGCUUUCGGGUGACCUCGACAUGCGGUGAACAUGCAACCCUCUCAGCUGGAAUCAGAUGCGCUUCCAUUGCACCACAAGGUCCCACUUGCACACCUUCUUUUCCUCUCUACAUAAGUUGUUAAAUACAGGCCUGUAAAAGGACUAAUUUGACCGGUCAACAGAACUAGGACUACCAAAAGACACCACAAGGCCAGCCAAAAAUAAGCCAGCGGAUACCAAGACCUCCUCACUGGUCAACAUGAAGCUAAGUGUUUUGGGUAUGUCAAACUGGGAGACCAAGGACCCAGUGGAGAGGCUAUGCCUUUCAGCUGGUGUGAGAACACCUCAGUGUCCCCCAGCAAAAGGUGGAGGUUGGAGGAGGUGGCUCUGGAGAGGAAUGUGCAGCAUUUAUUUUACCACUCUGCUGGCUCCAUAGUUCUGUCCAACAUGUUUCCUAAACAAACAACCCCAGAAAUUCAUUGACCCAGAUGUGAUGAGAAAACAGAUCACACAAUUUUGUCACAAGGUCCAGUUGGUAGCCAAAAAAAGUUUAGGGAGUUUUGGAAAUAGAUAAAGUUGUUCUUGAACAAAAAAAAUUCUUCAAUUGUCAACUCAACUCAACUCUGUAGUAACAGAACAGUGCCUUCAGCUUCGACUUGGAAGUUGAAGCUGAAGGCACUCAUUUUGACCUCGGCAUGAGUUGAACACACAACCUUCUGAGCUGAAAUCAGAUGCGCUACCAUUGCGCCACGAGGCAAGACACAUGAGCUGGAAAAGUUUAUGGAAUUUUUUUCUCAUUGAAAAACUUCAAGACUUCAGUAAAUCUGAACUUUUUGUUUUUGAAGCCUGACGAGUCAGAAAUGGAACCCCCCCAGUACACCACCAGUUUCAUAUUUUGAAGGGGUUGGUUGGGUCGGGUAAAUUGACUGAUUUUCAGUUACAACCUUGUUUUCAUGCUCUCAUUAUAGCAAAGGGUCUGCUUGUCCCGCAACAUAAUUAAUAUGGGCCAUGAACACUACUACAAAGAAGGACGUCAAAGCAAGAGUAUACCUGCUGCUUGGACUGUGGCCUUUCCUUAGACUCUGGUAACACGGGGUUGUUUUUUUGUAGCCAUUUCCCCCAUUGCCCGAUUUUAAAAAUGGCUGUUUUAAUUUUCGUAAACUAGAUGCUGCCAGCUGAGGUUCUUUCUAAUAGUUGAGGAAGUGGAGUGGGUAGGGGUGAGCUGUUGUUACUUUUAACUCAUUGUUUUCUCCUGUUUUUGGAUAGGACAAGGAGGUCAGACUCUGUCUUUGUUUUGCUUCUUUUUUCUCUCCAUGGGGUUAUAAGUGCAGGCAUCAUAGCUUAGCUUUGUGCUGUUUAUCAUUUUGGCCUCGGCUGACGCUGAAGUGUUGAUGCUCCUGUUCUGUUGUUUUCCCUCAGUACUUCAUAAAUA
This is a long non-coding RNA of Haplochromis burtoni (Burton's mouthbrooder), 2126 nucleotides long. RefSeq lists it as uncharacterized. The record is from RefSeq and is a predicted model, not a curated record. The transcript is spliced from 4 exons. NCBI's taxonomy places the organism in Eukaryota, Metazoa, Chordata, Actinopteri, Cichliformes, Cichlidae.